Molecule: ribosomal RNA, 253 nt
Filed under: uncultured bacterium
Lineage: Bacteria
Description: partial 16S ribosomal RNA
Rfam family: Bacterial small subunit ribosomal RNA
Source: RNAcentral
GACAGAGGGUGCAAACGUUGUUCGGAAUUACUGGGCGUAAAGCGCGUGUAGGCGGCUAAGUAAGUCGGGCGUGAAAUCCCACGGCUCAACCGUGGAAGUGCACUCGAAACUGCAUAGCUAGAGUCCUGGAGAGGAAGGUGGAAUGCUUGGUGUAGAGGUGAAAUUCGUAGAUAUUCGCAAGAACACCGGUGGCGAAGGCGGCCAACUGGACCAUCACUGACGCUGAGGCGCGAAAGCGUGGGGAGCAAACAGG